CAAUAACACCUGUGAUCUUUUUACAGGCACACACAGUGGGUUAUUAGUUAAAACAGUUUAGUUAUUAAGAAUGCUAUAAACAUAACUAAAAUUAACUAGUUAUACUCUAUAAUAGAGAACUACUUUUUAAUUGGUUACAAAUACUUUUCUAUAACAUAUCUACAAAAGUUACAGUAUCAUUUCUAUAGUACAUUUCUAUUCUACCACAGAAUCACUCUUCCACGUUUUGAAUAAGCCUAUAAUUAACAAAUUUAAAAAAAGGAAAAUGAGAAGAACCACCAUAUGCAAAUUUAAUAAGCCUCAGGGCCUCAAAAAAAAACAACAAAAAAAACAAAAAAACAACGAAACCCUUUUGUAGUACAUUAAAACAACAAACAAACACAUCCCAAUCAAACCAACAACAGAAAAAAUAUAUAGCAAUAAAGUAAAACACAACUAAUACCCUUUUUUACAAAGCACAGACCUUAGGGCUGCACCGAAGCAAUAAAUAGUUUGAGACUUCCCCACCUGUGUCCAAUCUGCAGUUAGUCAUUAGAGUUCUAAAGGCAGCACGUGGAAGCGCUCCCACUAUUCCGUCUGUGAGCGUGAGAUGGCAUGGAGGUGCCUACAGCUGUUGGACUGUCACUCAAUCUAUACUACACCUCAUUGUGCCCAGGAGGGGUACAUCUAUGUCUCAGGCUGUGUGAGGAUGCCAAGACUCUUCACAGGACCAAGGCAUUGCUCCACUUCUACUGAGUCCUUGGGGGCAUGGCUCUCCACUAAAACAGAUGAAAUGCAGAGGUUUUCUUCUAUACGCCCACUCAUCCGGCAGGUUACCAAGCACCAGAAGAAAAAAAAAAAAAGCUGGGAAGAGAUUUCCUUGCAAGCUAGCACCACUGGGACCUACAGGACACAAAAAGGAAAAACUUGCUUCUCCUGAUACCUUCCCAUUCUUUUAUAUGGCUAGAGGAGGAGGGCAUUGGAAAGAUGCAUGUAAAACUGCUAUGGGACCGUUUGUGGCGUGGCAGCCAUUUUGCAGCAGAGCACAGCUUAGAUUUUGGUGGAAAAUGAGCGUUUGCCAGCAAAGCAGUGGCCAUCUCCCUGCUAAAAACCUCAGAGGCACCUCAAUGCUUAGGUUUUUGAUUCCGAAAACCAAGGCAAGCUCCCGGGGGCAAGAUAGGACUGUUAGAAGAGCUGGCAGGCCUGAGGUGCAGCCGUUGGAGUGCAUGUGUGAGGAACUGCGCAGGUGCGAUCGUUGCAUGCACUUAGCUGAGUAG
RNAcentral lists this long non-coding RNA (1256 nucleotides) under Phasianus colchicus (ring-necked pheasant). RNAcentral's name for it is "lncRNA (ENSPCLG00000010579.1)". Lineage: Eukaryota; Metazoa; Chordata; Aves; Galliformes; Phasianidae. The record is from RNAcentral.